Molecule: long non-coding RNA, 7817 nt
Filed under: Lactuca sativa (garden lettuce)
Lineage: Eukaryota; Viridiplantae; Streptophyta; Magnoliopsida; Asterales; Asteraceae
Description: long non-coding RNA (LSAT_LNC002428)
Source: RNAcentral
CGUGGUCGUUAUCCAUACUCCGCUGAAUAACUAGAUCAACAACAACAACAACAUCGAGGCCUCUCAUCUGUUUAUUACACACCAACUAUCUACCCAUGUUCUACCCAACAUAUUAGUAGAUAAAAAUAUACAUUUGUAUACAUAGUUUAAAGAAAACCUGUAUAGCAUGCUUUAAUCAACACAUAUAUCACAUAACAGAUGAGGCACACACACACAUAACACAUAUCUCAUAAAGAAAUAAGCAGAUCUAUAAGAUAGAAGAGAGUGAAUACUCAUUCACACAUAACACAACCAAAUAUAUACACAUAGCACGUAUUUUUAUAUAAAAUACUUCGUAUUAUUGUAUUAGAAGAAAUAACUACACACUCACUUGAUCAGAAGAUGAUCGGACAGCACUACGGCUUAUAGAAGUAGUAAUCCACAGCAGAUCUGGAAGAUCUCCUCGAAAAUCGAACUUCUCGCGGGCAGAGCUUCGACUCGGGAACCGCACUUUUCGGGAUCUUCGGGAUCUCGGGACUUGCCUCGGGGCUAGAGUAUGAUACCGGGACUUCGGGGUAGCUUCGGGGGUUUUUGCACAGAGCUUCGACACGAAAACGAGAGGGAAUUGGCAAAAAUACCCGGAACCCUCGCAUCCUAUUUAUAGGAGGCUGGAGCCUCGGAGUACGCGGGGCGUACUGCGUUACGCGGGGCGUACUGCCCAAAACGUCAUUGCUUACGUAUCCGAAGUGCUCGAGUGCGAGUGUCGACAUCCCUCGGAGUACGCGGGGCGUACUCGAGUACGCGGGGCGUACCUCGGAUCAGAUCGGUGACUCCUUCGGAUAAUGCUUCCGAAUUUUGAUUUAAAUAUAAAUACAAAAUGAUUAAUAAACUUCGGAAAUUCAUAACUUCUUCAUACGAACUCCGUUUUCGACGUUCUUUAUAUCCACGGAAAGGUGAGACCACGCUCUACGACUUUCGUUUAGACUCCGUCGGCUAAUUUUGACUUUAUUUUUAUUAAUUAUUUUUAAUAGGCCGCGACAGAAACUUUCGUUAUAAAUUCAUAACUUCUUCGUUUGACGUCCGUUCUCGCCUAACUUUUUAUCGCUUCGAUACCAACAAUGAGAUCUUCGAUUCUCAUUUAGAUUGCUUCGGCUAACAACCGCUCGAUCUCAAAUCGAGUAAAACAGGCUGUAUACCGCUAAGCCGGAACUUCGAUAAAUCAUAACUUCCUCAUACGAAGUCAGAUUUGGGCGUUCUAUAUAUAUUCGGAAACCUCGUUUCAACUACUACAACAUUAACCAAAGAUAUUAAGUUUAUUUUACACUUAAAUUUUGACGCUUAUUUUUAUUCUUAAUUAAUCAAACCACAUAAUUAAGCAAUUAAGCACAAAACACAUAAUACUCAAAUAAUACAAUCUUAUUAUUUCAAAACGGGUUACAAAGGUUAACCUAGACUAUUACAUUGCUAAAAAUGGCAAGCCCGGAAACACAGGCGUUACAAUUCUCUCCACCUUAGAAUGAUUCCGUCCCCGGAAUCACACAUCAACAAACAAAUGCGGAUAGCGACUCAACAUGUCACUCUCCGUCUCCCAGGUGAGAUUCGGCCCAUUCGUGUGUUUCCAUCGGACAAGCACUAACCCAACCAUUUUGCGUCGCAACUUCUUAGUCUUUCGGUCAACAAUUGCCUCUGGUUCUUCAAUCAACCUUUUGUUCUCAUCAAUUCUCAAUUCAGAAAUUGGAAUUAUAUCGGGAACUUCUCCCGUGAACUUCCUCAAAUAACACACAUGAAAAGUGUUGUGAAUUCCAUUCAGUUCUUCGGGUAAUUCGAGCUUGUAAGCUUGGUUCCCAAUCCUCUGAAGAACUUUAAACGGUCCAAUAAACCUUGGACUCAACUUUCCCCUUUUACCAAAUCUUAUAAGUCCCUUCCACGGCGAGACUUUAAGCAAAACCGAAUCCCCAACCUCAAAAGUUAUCGGUCUCCGCUUCUUGUCAGCAUAGCUCUUUUGACGAUCCUGAGCUGCUAACAUUCUUUCCCUAAUUAUUUUCAACUUUUCAGCAGUUUGAUGAACCAACUCCGGUCCCAUAAACUGCUUUUCCCCAGCCUCAAGCCAACAAGACGGCGUACGACACUUCUGUCCAUACAAAGCUUGGUAAGGUGCCAUCUUAAUGCUCGAGUGGAAACUAUUAUUAUAGGAAAAUUCUACCAACGGUAAAUGUUCAUCCCAAUUACCUAGGAAUUCCAGAGUACAUGCUCUCAGCAUAUCUUCAAGUGUUUGUAUCGUUCGUUCGCUCUGACCAUCAGUCUGCGGAUGGUAAGCUGUACUUAAACACAACUUGGUACCCAAUUCCUCUUGUAGACUUUUCCAAAACCUCGAUGUGAAACGGCUAUCACGAUCCGACACAAUCGUUAACGGAACACCGUGAAGCCUCACAAUUUCCUUCACGUAAGAAUUCGCAAGCUUCUCCAUAGACCAUUUCUCCCUGGCCGCUAUGAAAUGCGCACUCUUAGUGAAUCGAUCAACGACCACCCAAAUCAUGUCGUGACCAUUCUUUGUUCUGGGCAGUUUAGUGACAAAAUCCAUAGCAAUGUCUUCCCACUUACCCAUAGGCACAGGCAAAGGUUCUAAACUCCCGUACGGUUUCUGAUGUUGUGUCUUGACUCUCGCACAAGUCACACACUCGGCCACAUACUUUGCAACAUCAAGCUUCAUCGUCGGCCACCAGUAGUAGGGUUUCAGGUCCCUAUACAUUUUAGUGCUACCCGGAUGAAUCGAGUACAUGGUCUUGUGAGCUUCUUCCAUCAGAAGAUCUCUGACUCCUCCUGUCUUAGGUAUCCAAAUCCGAUCUUGGAACACCUUCAGUCCAUGACUGUUUACACCGAACACCAACGUUUUGCCCAAACGUUCCUCCUUUCUGUCAUUCUUCUCAGAAGCUUCGCUCUGAGCUUUCUUUAUACUUUCCAAAAUAGUUGAGACAACUUCAAUUCUCAACGCUCUUGGCCUUUUCCUUUCGGGAUUGACUUUCCGACUGAGAGCAUCAGCAACAACAUUAGCUUUACCGGGGUGGUAAAGUAUCUCGCAGUCAUAGUCUUUAAGUAAUUCUAGCCAGCGUCGUUGCCUCAUAUUCAAUUCUUUCUGAUUAAAGAGGUAUUGGAGACUCUUAUGAUCAGUGAAAAGUUUGCACUUCGUGCCAUAGAGGUAAUGCCUCCAUAUUUUCAGAGCGAAAACUACCGCUGCCAACUCCAAAUCAUGAGUCGGGUAAUUCUUUUCAUGCUCUUUCAGCUGUCGAGACGCAUAUGCUAUCACCUUUUCUCUUUGGGUCAAAACACAACCCAAUCCAACACCAGACGCAUCGCUAUAGACAGCGAAGUCUUCAACUCCAUCGGGUAGAGAAAGUAUCGGUGCCUCGCAUAGCUUCUCCUUUAGCUUCUCAAAUGCUUCCUUAUGCUUCUCACCCCAAGCAUAAGUAGCUCCUUUGUGGGUCAAAGCUGACAAUGGACUAGCGAUCGAAGAAAAGCCUUGGAUAAACCUUCGGUAAUAUCCGGCUAAUCCUAAAAAGCUUCGAAUCUCCGUGGGACUUUUCGGUUGUUCCCACUUCGUCACAGCUUCGAUCUUCGCUGGAUCAACCAUUAUCCCUUCUUGGUUGACCACGUGACCCAAGAAUUGGACUUCACGAAUCCAAAAAUCACAUUUGGAGAACUUAGCAUACAGCUUCUCCUUCUUCAAAACUUCUAACACUUCUCGCAAGUGUCUGCCAUGCUCCUCCUGGCUUUUCGAGUAAAUCAGAAUGUCGUCUAUGAACACUAUCACGGAUUUAUCAAGGAACGGGUUACAAACCCUAUUCAUCAAAUCCAUGAACGCUGCUGGAGCAUUGGUUAGUCCAAACGACAUAACCAAGAACUCGUAGUGUCCAUAUCUAGUUCUGAAUGCAGUCUUCUCGAUAUCUUGCUCUCUUACUUUUAGCUGAUGAUAUCCUGACCUAAGAUCGAUCUUCGAGAAAUAGCUCGAACCUUGCAAUUGAUCAAACAGGUCAUCAAUCCUCGGCAACGGAUAUCUAUUCUUUAUUGUUGCCUUGUUCAGCUCUCUGUAAUCGAUGCACAUUCUCAUACUUCCAUCUUUCUUCUUUACAAAUAACACCGGAGCUCCCCAGGGCGAUGAACUAGGUCUAAUGAAACCGUUGUCCAAUAACUCCUGAAGUUGCAUCAUUAGCUCCUUCAUCUCCGUCGGUGCUAAUCGAUAAGGUGCUUUCGCAAUUGGCGUUGUUCCUGGCAACAAGUCAAUACGGAAUUCCACUUGUCGAUCAGGCGGUAAUCCAGGAAGAUCUUCGGGAAAUACUUCCGGAUAAUCACACACCACUGGAAUAUUCUGCAUCACCUUCUUUUCCUUCUUAGCAUCAAUCACGAAUGCUAAAUACGAUGUACACCCCUUGGUCAAACAUUUUCUGGCUUUCAUCAAUGAAAUGAUUCCAGAAUUCACUCUGCGUUUAUCUCCAUACACCAUAAACGAAUCUUUCCCAGGCGGGUUUACUUUGACUAUUUUCUUCUUGCAUAAAAUUUCGGCGUCGUUGGCGCUAAGCCAAUCCAUUCCCAAUACGAUGUCGAAACCAUUAAGUUCGAUAGGCAAUAAUUCCUCGUGGAACUUAUUCCCAUUCAGAUCAAUUAAGAUGUUUUUCAUGCGAUAGCUAACAGGUACAAACUUGCCACUAGCAACUUCGACUAAUAAAGCAUUAUCUAGUCUAACAACAGGCAAAGCUAGCUUUCUACCAAAUUCAUGCGAUAUAAAGGAGUAGUUGGCUCCAGAAUCAAAUAAAAUUUGGGCAGGCAAUUCGUUAACGAGAAAGGUACCUGAAGCGACAUCAGCUUCAUCUUUAGCAGCUUCCAGUGUCAUCUGGAAUGCUCUCGCCUUUGGCUUUGGCGGAAUGUUGGGUCUAGCUGCCUCCUUCUUCUUCGGGCAGUCCCUCGACAUAUGACCCUCCUCACCACAACCAUAGCAAACUUUCUUUGUGAGGGUACACUCAUUGGCAUAGUGCCCUGGCUUUCCACACUUGUAGCAUGUGUUCGCCACCUCACAUCUUCCAUGAUGCUUCUUCUUACAUUUGUCGCACCAUUUCGCUUCACCUCCACCUCCCCUCGAACCAGACUUCGAGAACUUGUUUUUCUUGUUGGACCCUGAAGUUCCAUCGAACUUCCUCUUUUCUCCAACAUCUAUUCUUUCCAGACCCUUUUCCUUCUGCUGGGCCUCCACAUUCUUAGCUGCACGAACAGCCGUUUUCAGAGUGGUUGCCAUUUUGACUGUCGGACCAAAGUCAGCAGGCAGUCCGUUAGCAAACCUCUCAAUCUUGGAGAGUUCCGUUGGCACUAGGUACGGAAACAACUUCAUCUUCUCAGUAAAUGCAGUAGCAUAGUCAUCUAUGCUCAUCUUCCCCUUCUUUAAGUUUUGAAACUCAUUGUUCAGAUCAAUCAGAUCUAUCUCCGAACAAUACUGCACCCUUAACUGUUCCAAGAACUCCUCCCAUGACAUUUUCAGGGCUUCUCCUCGUGGCAUAGUAUCUGCCAACAACUUCCACCAACUCAAGACUCCAGUCUUCAGUUGUCUAACCGCAAAGACGGUCUUCUGUUUGUUGCUACAGUCGCAACUUUCAAAUACCAUCUCCAUUUCGGAGAUCCAAUCCAUUAUCUCAACAGGCUUUGGGCUCCCAGAAAGACUUGGCGGUUUGGCGCCCAAGAAAUUCUUGUACAUACGCCCAUCCUUGUUGUUUCUCCUUUCUGGAUCGUUCCUUCGUUCCUCUUGAGUCCCAACUUGACUCACCAUGCGACUAUUGUUCCCUUCCUCCGAUUGCUCGGGAAUCAAUUCAGGUUCCUCAAUAGGUAUGACAGGUUCAUCCCUAUUAUUAUGCAACAUUUGUCGCAUCUCCUCCCUUUGUUCGGCUAGCAUAGCCCGAAUCAUGGCUUGCACCGCAGCCAUUGUUAUUGGUUCUGGUGCUGCUGCUACAACAGGUAUUUGCUCAAUCACUGGCGGUUGAUUCCUGUUUUCAUCUGCGUUUCCAACGCCACUCCUUGUUCUCACCAUUUUUGAUCUACACACCGAAUAAUUUCACCUUAUUACUCCAAACGAUUACAUGCUAGUUCUAAUAUCGUAUACAUACGCUUAGAAUCCUAAACACAUAAACCUUCAGAUCCGGUUGGCAACAAACCGUAGAUCCGAACAAAUAAUAUCAUAUAUGGCAACAUAUAACAUUUAGCACAUAAAAGCAUUUUAGGCAACUUUCCUAAAAUAAACUAGUGCUCGUGUCUAAAAUCCAACAGACACACAUCUCAAAAUUCCACUUAGCAUUCUAAGUUUAAGUCUAGAAAUCCUACAAAUUCCUAGUUCGCUUAAACUAAUGCUCUGAUACCAACUGUGACAUCCCCAAAAUCUCGGCCAGAAAAGACCGAUUUUCAUUUAUGCUUUUAAAUAUUUUCAGAGUAAAUCCUUUUGAUUUGAAAGAGUUGCGGAAUUUGUUCCCAAAACAAAACAUGAUAAAAUAAUAUUUAUCAAAGCAUUUCAUCAAGAGAUGCAUUUCAUUAUAUAAUCAAAACUCGGGAUGUCAUGUUCCGAUACAGACCAUAAAGCAUAAACGAUAAACAUUACAAGUCAUUCAACAAAUAUAUACAUAUACAGACUUGUAAACAAAACAACAAGAUGAUCCAUCCAUCUUACGCCCUUGUGCCACUUCCUGUAAUACAAAUAAAACUGAGUGGGUCAGGCUUGGGAGCCUGGUGAGCAUAUAGGGUUUUCAACCCACAAUAAAUAAGUUAUAUUUAAUUUCACCAACCAAUCACUAUCCCGAUUACCCAUUCCCGUUAUCCUCACUUUACGUCCCUAAAACAACUAUCUCAAGGGACCUAAUCUAGGAUUUUCAUCGGGACGGACAUCACUGCGAAGGGGUUUCCUCAACAAUAGAUAUCCUAAAGGCAACCAUGAGGGGGAUAGAGUACACCGGUGAACACAUCGUUCACAACACCUACAGGUUAUGAACCUGCUAGCGUUCCACUGGACUGUCUAGAAAGAGUCCGUGGUCGUUAUCCAUACUCCGCUGAAUAACUAGAUCAACAACAACAACAACAACGAGGCCUCUCAUCUGUUUAUUACACACCAACUGUCUACCCAUGUUCUACCCAACAUAUUAGUAGAUAAAAAUAUACAUUUGUAUACAUAGUUUAAAGAAAACCUGUAUAGCAUGCUUUAAUCAACACAUAUAUCACAUAACAGAUGAGGCACACACACACAUAACACAUAUCUCAUAAAGAAAUAAGCAGAUCUAUAAGAUAGAAGAGAGUGAAUACUCAUUCACACAUAACACAACCAAAUAUAUACACAUAGCACGUAUUUUUAUAUAAAAUACUUCGUAUUAUUGUAUUAGAAGAAAUAACUACACACUCACUUGAUCAGAAGACGAUCCGACAGCACUACGGCUUAUAGAAGUAGUAAUCCACAGCAGAUCUGGAAGAUCUCCUCGAAAAUCGAACUUCUCGCGGGCAGAGCUUCGACUCGGGAACCGCGCUUCUCGGGAUCUUCGGGGUCUCGGGACUUGCCUCGGGGCUAGAGUAUGAUACCGGGACUUCGGGGUAGCUUCGGCACGAAAAACGAUGCAAAAGACUAGAGAGAAGAGAAGAAAAUGAACAAGAAAUGAGGCUGUCUUCGGAUCCUUUAUAUAGAGGCUGGAACCUCGGAGUACGCGGGGCGUACAGGCGUACGCAGCGCGUACAGCGUCCGAAAUCGUCAUUGCAUGCGUCAUCCGAAGUGUCGACACUAUCGGAGUACGCUGGGCGUUCUCGCGUACGCGGGGCGUACGUCGGAU